GCAAUCAUACUGUGAAACUGCGAAUGGCUCAUUAAAUCAGUUAUCGUUUAUUUGAUAGUUCCUUUACCUGGAUAACCGUGGUAAUUCUAGAGCUAAUACAUGCUAACNNCCCCGACUUCGGGAGGGGUGUAUUUAUUAGAUAAAAAACCAAUGCCCUUCGGGGCUCCUUGGUGAUUCAUAAUAACUUAACGAAUCGCAUGGCCUUGCGCCGGCGAUGGUUCAUUCAAAUUUCUGCCCUAUCACCUUUCGAUUGUAAGAUAGAGGCUUACAAUGGGAGCAACGGGUAACGGGGAAUAAGGGUUCUAUUCCGGAGAGGGAGCCUGAGAAACGGCUACCACAUCCAAGGAAGGCAGCAGGCGCGCAAAUUACCCAAUCCCGAUACGGGGAGGUAGUGACAAUAAAUACUGAUACGGGGCUCUUUCGGGUCUCGUAAUUGGAAUGAGUACAAUCUAAAUCCCUUAACGAGGAACAAUUGGAGGGCAAGUCUGGUGCCAGCAGCCGCGGUAAUUCCAGCUCCAAUAGCGUAUAUUAAAGUUGUUGCCGUUAAAAAGCUCGUAGUUGAACCUUGGCCCUGGCUGAUCUGUCCUCCUAAUCGAGCGCACGGAUUCGGUCGGGGCUUUCCUUCUGGGGAGCCCCAUGCCCUUCACUGGGUGUGGCGGGGAACCAGGACUUUUACCUUGAAAAAAUUAGAGUGUUCAAAGCAGGCCUUUGCUCGAAUACAUUAGCAUGGAAUAAUAGAAUAGGACAUCGGUUCUAUUUUGUUGGUUUCUAGGACCGCUGUAAUGAUUAAUAGGGACAGUCGGGGGCGUCAGUAUUCAAUUGUCAGAGGUGAAAUUCUUGGAUUUAUUGAAGACUAACUACUGCGAAAGCAUUCGCCAAGGAUGUUUUCAUUAAUCAGUGAACGAAAGUUAGGGGAUCGAAGACGAUCAGAUACCGUCGUAGUCUUAACCAUAAACUAUGCCGACUAGGGAUCGGACGGUGGUUUUUUUAUGCCCCGUUCGGCACCUUACGAGAAAUCAAAGUUUUUGGGCUCG
This 1034-nucleotide ribosomal RNA is filed under the name Exophiala jeanselmei. RNAcentral's name for it is "SSU rRNA". It matches the Rfam family "Eukaryotic small subunit ribosomal RNA", at positions 69 to 1115 of the family's 1831-position model. Lineage: Eukaryota; Fungi; Ascomycota; Eurotiomycetes; Chaetothyriales; Herpotrichiellaceae. The record is from RNAcentral.